GACGAAGGGGGCUAGCGUUGUUCGGAAUUACUGGGCGUAAAGCGAGUGUAGGUGGUUGUCAUAGUCAGGUGUGAAAGCCUUGAGCUCAACUCAAGAAAUGCACUUGAUACUGGGCGACUAGAGGACCGGAGAGGAUAGUGGAAUUCCCAGUGUAGUGGUGAAAUACGUAGAGAUUGGGAAGAACACCAGUGGCGAAGGCGGCUAUCUGGACGGUACUGACGCUGAGACGCGAAAGCGUGGGGAGCGAACAGG
Molecule: ribosomal RNA, 252 nt
Filed under: uncultured bacterium
Lineage: Bacteria
Description: partial 16S ribosomal RNA
Rfam family: Bacterial small subunit ribosomal RNA
Source: RNAcentral